GAAGCUCUCUAUGAGUCUGAAAGAUGUUCAAGUGGGGGGAGGGGGGUGGAGGGAGGGGAUGGAUUAUUUGUCUUCUGUGGCUUCGCUGAGGGUAGAGGGACUCAACUCCUUAGUCUUGGGACUCAGCUUUUAGCAAACAUUAGGCAGUGGUUGGACGGUGGAGUAAGAACUCUCUGAAGCACUGAGGAUGUUUCCAACUGCUCUAACAGAUGUGAGGUGACCAAAGAUGUAUCACUAACAAGCAAACAAGGAAAUUUGAACUUCCUCCCUCGUAGCUGUGAGAGAUCUCCAGUUACACUCUAAUAGCCUUCCAUUGGCAUUGUGAAAUGAAGCAGCACUUUGACAUUCUUCCUUCUGUAGAGGUAGCAAAACCUUUCCAGACAAAAGCCCAACAAGUGAUGAAUGCUAUUUUGGUGGAAUGGAAUGGCCAAGUGUUUCAUGGAGGGUGUCAGAGAAAUGUCUGGCUGGGAAAAGAGAGACCAGGAAGCAGAUUCUGUUUUCUCAUGGCUCAGUGUACAGGAGCUGCAUGUGGACUACAUUGUAACCCGUGGUUUUUAUGUUGAACAGAACUGUCUCAGAAAGCAUGGACAUUUCCUGAGAGAGAAGGAAGAAAGAAGGGGGAAAAAGAUUGGUGGAAUGAAGUGUGUGUGUAGGGAACAGCAUGGAAGAUAA
Molecule: long non-coding RNA, 672 nt
Filed under: Monodelphis domestica (gray short-tailed opossum)
Lineage: Eukaryota; Metazoa; Chordata; Mammalia; Didelphimorphia; Didelphidae
Description: lncRNA (ENSMODG00000032800.2)
Source: RNAcentral